AGUGUGAUUGUUGGAUCAUAAGUUAAGUAUUUAUUUUAUUUUGUACAAAACUGCCAAAUUUUUACUAAAGUGACUGGACUGUAGAUUUUAUAUUUCCACUGACAAU
Molecule: microRNA precursor, 106 nt
Filed under: Marmota monax (woodchuck)
Lineage: Eukaryota; Metazoa; Chordata; Mammalia; Rodentia; Sciuridae
Source: RNAcentral